GACGAACGCUGGCGGCGUGCUUAACACAUGCAAGUCGAACGGAAAGGCCCUGCUUUUGUGGGGUGCUCGAGUGGCGAACGGGUGAGUAACACGUGAGUAACCUGCCCUUGACUUUGGGAUAACUUCAGGAAACUGGGGCUAAUACCGGAUAGGAGCUCCUGCUGCAUGGUGGGGGUUGGAAAGUUUCGGCGGUUGGGGAUGGACUCGCGGCUUAUCAGCUUGUUGGUGGGGUAGUGGCUUACCAAGGCUUUGACGGGUAGCCGGCCUGAGAGGGUGACCGGCCACAUGGGGACUGAGAGACGGCCCAGACUCCGACGGGGGGCAGAAGGGGGGAAUAUGGCACAAUGGGGGGAGGCCGGAGGCAGCAGCGCCGCGUGGGGGAUGACGGCCUUCGGGUUGAAAUUCGUUUCCGCCGGGGACGAAGCGGGAGUGACGGUAGGGGGUAAAAAAGCCCCGGCAAACAACGGG
Molecule: ribosomal RNA, 468 nt
Filed under: uncultured bacterium
Lineage: Bacteria
Description: partial 16S ribosomal RNA
Rfam family: Bacterial small subunit ribosomal RNA
Source: RNAcentral